CCUACGGGCGGCAGCAGUGGGGAAUAUUGCGCAAUGGGCGAAAGCCUGACGCAGCGACGCCGCGUGAGGGAUGAAGGUCUUCGGAUCGUAAACCUCUGUCAGCCGGGAAGCACCGUCACUGUGCUAAUCAGCAGUGAAUUGACGGUACCUGCACAGGAAGCACCGGCUAACUCCGUGCCAGCAGCCGCGGUAAUACGGAGGGUGCGGGCGUUGAUUGGAAUUUCUGGGCGUAAAGCGUUCGUAGGCGGUAUGUCAAGUCAAGGGGGAAAUCCCCGCGCUCAACGUGGGAACUGCCUUUGAAACUGGCAAACUGGAGUGUGUGAGAGGAUAGAGGAAUGCCAGGUGUAGGAGUGAAAUCCGUAGAUAUCUGGAGGAACACCAGUGGCGAAGGCGACUAUCUGGCACAUAACUGACGCUGAGGAGCGAAAGCGUGGGUAGCAAACAGGAUUAGAUACCCCUGUAGUC
RNAcentral lists this ribosomal RNA (465 nucleotides) under uncultured bacterium. RNAcentral's name for it is "partial 16S ribosomal RNA". It matches the Rfam family "Bacterial small subunit ribosomal RNA", at positions 338 to 795 of the family's 1533-position model. The record is from RNAcentral.